Molecule: ribosomal RNA, 109 nt
Filed under: uncultured bacterium
Lineage: Bacteria
Description: partial 16S ribosomal RNA
Rfam family: Bacterial small subunit ribosomal RNA
Source: RNAcentral
UAGGGAAUUUCGUCAAUGGGGCAACCCUGAACGAGCAAUGCCGCGUGAGCGAAGAAGGUCUUCGGAUUGUAAAGCUCUGUUGCCGGGGAAAAGGAGGAAGAGGAAAUGC